UUUGCAUGGUCCAACAAGUCCUCCACCGCUGGUGAACUUUGAGAAAAAUCGUAUUUUGCACGGCUAAAUGUAAACGGGAAUAUUAGUGGAGUAUUAACUUUUCUUUAGCCAUGUAAACAGCUUAGUCGGAAUAUCGUUUUUUUCGAAAUAAGGGCAAAAACUGGAAUAUUACAUGCAUGUAAACUUCGGCACUGUUAUGGG
This is a long non-coding RNA of Etheostoma spectabile (orangethroat darter), 201 nucleotides long. RefSeq lists it as uncharacterized. NCBI's taxonomy places the organism in Eukaryota, Metazoa, Chordata, Actinopteri, Perciformes, Percidae. The transcript is spliced from 3 exons. The record is from RefSeq and is a predicted model, not a curated record.